RNAcentral lists this ribosomal RNA (1869 nucleotides) under human oral metagenome. RNAcentral describes it as "bacterial LSU rRNA". It matches the Rfam family "Bacterial large subunit ribosomal RNA", at positions 659 to 2544 of the family's 2925-position model. The record is from RNAcentral.
UGCGGAGCCGUAGCGAAAGCGAAUCUUAAUAGGGUGGCAAGUAUGUAGAGAUAGACCCGAAGCCGUAGUGAUCUAGUCAUGAGCAGGUUGAAGGCUGGGUGAAUCCAGCUGGAGGACCGAACCGACCCCCGUUGAAAAGUUGGCGGAUGACUUGUGAUUAGCGGAGAAAUUCCAAUCGAACACGGCGAUAGCUGGUUCUCCCCGAAAUAGCUUUAGGGCUAGCGUUGAACGAAUCUACCCGGAGGUAGAGCACUGAAAUCAUGCGGGCGGCAUCUCGCCGUACCAAAUGAUAUCAAACUCCGAAUGCCGGGCAAGAAUAUUCAGCAGUCAGACUGUGGGUGAUAAGGUCCAUGGUCAAAAGGGAAACAGCCCAGAUCAUCAGAUAAGGUCCCAAAAUUUACGCUAAGUGGAAAAGGAUGUGGAGACGCGCAAACAGCUAGGAGGUUGGCUCAGAAGCAGCCAUCCUUCAAAGAGUGCGUAACAGCUCACUAGUCGAGUAUCUCUGCGCCGAAAAUUAACCGGGGCUAAGCGUAAUACCGAAUCUAUGGAUUUAUACUUAGGUAUAAGUGGUAGGGGAGCGUUCCAUACAGCAUUGAAGGUAUACCGUAAGGAGUGCUGGAGCGUAUGGAAGUGAGAAUGCCGGUGUGAGUAGCGAGAUGUGGGUGAGAAUCCCACACACCGAAAAACCAAGGUUUCCAGGGGAAGGUUCGUCCGCCCUGGGUAAGUCGGGACCUAAGGCCAGGCCGAAAGGCGUAGUCGAUGGAUAGCAGGUUGAUAUUCCUGCACCCGCGAGUAAAGUGAUGGAGUGACAGAUAGGGUUAGCCCUAGUCCUUAAUGGAUUGGGCAAGGCAAGCAGGAGAGUGGCGUAGGCAAAUCCGCGCCGGAUACUCAAAGGCUUGACUCAAGCGAACGCGCGAGCAAGUAGUGAAGAAGGUGAUACCAGGUCUCGAGAAAAGCUUCUAGCGAUAAUUUACUAGCGGCCCGUACCAAAACCGACACAGGUGGUUGAGGCGAGUAGCCUAAGGUGAGCGAGAGAACUGUUGCCAAGGAACUCGGCAAAUUGACCCCGUACGUUAGCAAUAAGGGGUGCUCGAAAGAGCCGCAGUGAAUAGGCCCUAGCAACUGUUUAACUAAAACAUAGCUCUCUGCGAAGUCGCAAGACGAAGUAUAGGGGGUGACACCUGCCCGGUGCUGGAAGGUCAAGGGGAUUUGUCAGACGCAAGUCGAAGCAUUGAACCGAAGCCCCAGUGAACGGCGGCCGUAACUAUAACGGUCCUAAGGUAGCGAAAUUCCUUGUCAGGUAAGUUCUGACCCGCACGAAAGGUGUAAUGAUUUGGGCACUGUCUCGGCAGCAGACUCGGUGAAAUCUUAGUACCUGUGAAGAUGCAGGUUACCCGCAACUAGACGGAAAGACCCCAUGGAGCUUUACUGUAGUCUGCUAUUGAGUUUCGGUUAAGUAUGCACAGGAUAGGUGGGAGACGAUGAGACUGGUCUUUCGGGAUCAGAGGAGUCACUGUUGGGAUACCACUCUUACUUAAUUGAAAUUCUAACUCUAAGCCGUGAUCCGGCUAGAGGACCGUGGCAGAUGGGCAGUUUGACUGGGGCGGUCGCCUCCCAAAGAGUAACGGAGGCGCACAAAGGUACUCUCAGAAUGGUUGGAAAUCAUUCAACGAGCGCAAACGCAGAAGAGUGCUUGACUGCGAGACAAACAAGUCGAGCAGGGACGAAAGUCGGUGUUAGUGAUCCGGCGGUGCAGAAUGGAAUGGCCGUCGCUUAACGGAUAAAAGCUACCCUGGGGAUAACAGGCUGAUCUCGCCCAAGAGUUCACAUCGACGGGGAGGUUUGGCACCUCGAUGUCGGCUCAUCGCA